This 756-nucleotide long non-coding RNA is filed under the name Homo sapiens (human). RNAcentral describes it as "HSALNT0319561". The record is from RNAcentral. Lineage: Eukaryota; Metazoa; Chordata; Mammalia; Primates; Hominidae.
CCCAGCAGCAGUGUUCUGGAAUGCUAUGUGAAGGACAAACAUUCAGACCACGGGAGCAGUGUUCUAGAAUCCUACGUGAAGGACAAACAUUAAGACUCUCAUAGCAGUGUCCUGGAAUCAUAUCUGAGGAACAACCAUUCAGACACCAGCAGAAGUGUUCUGGAAUCCUAGGUGUGGGAAAAACAUUCAGAACCUAGUAGCAGUGUUCUGGAAUCCUAUGUGAGGGACAUACAUUCAGACCACGGCAGCAGUGUUCUGGAAUGGUAUGUGAAGGACAAACAUUCAGACCCUUGUAGCAGUGUUCCGGAAUUCUAUGUGAGGGACAAACAUUCAGACCACAGCAUCAGUGUUCUGGAAUCCUAUAUGACGGACCAACAUUCAGACCCUUGCAACAGUGUUCUGGAAUACUAGGUGAGGGAGAAAUAUUCACACCCUUGUAGCAGUGUUCUGGAAUUCUAUGUGACUGACAAACAUUCAGACUCCAGCAACAGUGUUCUGUAAUCCUAUGUGAGUGACAAACAUUCAGACCCCAAGAGCAGUGUUCUGAAAUCCUAUGUUAAGGGAAACAUUGAGACCCCAGCAUGAAUGUUCUGGAAUCCUAUGUGAGGGACAAACAUUCAGACCACGGCAGGAGUAUUCUGGAAUCCUAUGUGAGGAGCAAACAUUCAGACCACAGCAGAAGUGUUCUGGAAUCCUAUAUGAGGGAUAAGCAUUCAGACCCUCGUAGCAGUGUUCUGGAAUCCUAUGUGAGGGAGA